AGCAGUGGGGAAUAUUGCACAAUGGGCGCAAGCCUGAUGCAGCGACGCCGCGUGAGGGAUGACGGCCUUCGGGUUGUAAACCGCUUUUGACAGGGACGAAGCGCAAGUGACUGUACCUGUAGAAUAAGGACCGGCCAACUACGUGCCAGCAGCCGCGGUAAUACGUAGGGUCCGAGCGUUGUCCGGAAUUACUGGGCGUAAAGAGCUUGUAGGCGGUUCGUCGCGUCGUUUGUGAAAACUUGGGGCUCAACCUUAAGCUUGCAGGCGAUACGGGCAGACUAGAGUACUUCAGGGGAGACUGGAAUUCCUGGUGUAGCGGUGAAAUGCGCAGAUAUCAGGAGGAACACCGGUGGCGAAGGCGGGUCUCUGGGCAGUAACUGACGCUGAGGAGCGAAAGCAUGGGUAGCAAACAGGAUUAGAUACCCGUGUAG
RNAcentral lists this ribosomal RNA (431 nucleotides) under Stenotrophomonas sp. SAM-B. RNAcentral's name for it is "bacterial SSU rRNA". It matches the Rfam family "Bacterial small subunit ribosomal RNA", at positions 350 to 793 of the family's 1533-position model. Lineage: Bacteria; Pseudomonadati; Pseudomonadota; Gammaproteobacteria; Lysobacterales; Lysobacteraceae. The record is from RNAcentral.